This 253-nucleotide ribosomal RNA is filed under the name uncultured bacterium. RNAcentral describes it as "partial 16S ribosomal RNA". It matches the Rfam family "Bacterial small subunit ribosomal RNA", at positions 524 to 776 of the family's 1533-position model. The record is from RNAcentral.
GACGGAGGGCGCUAGCGUUGUUCGGAAUCACUGGGCGUAAAGGGCGCGUAGGCGGCCAUUUAAGUCGGAGGUGAAAGCCCGGGGCUCAACCUCGGAACGGCCUUCGAGACUGGAUGGCUAGAGACCGGAAGAGGAGGGUGGAAUACCCAGUGUAGAGGUGAAAUUCGUAGAUAUUGGGUGGAACACCAGUGGCGAAAGCGGCUCUCUGGUCCGGUUCUGACGCUGAGGAGCGAAAGCGUGGGGAGCAAACAGG